This 478-nucleotide long non-coding RNA is filed under the name Vitis vinifera (wine grape). RNAcentral describes it as "long non-coding RNA (VVIN_LNC001937)". The record is from RNAcentral. Lineage: Eukaryota; Viridiplantae; Streptophyta; Magnoliopsida; Vitales; Vitaceae.
CUCUAACAUGGGAAGUUUCAAAUGUAGAACAGGAGCCUGAAUGUAAGGUACACUCGGUAGAUCUUGAAAUGUGGAUAUUUUAAGUAGGCACAUUAAGAGCAUGUGUAUAAAUAUGUGCAUAAUAAAAGGGGACCAUGCAUGUAGAUACAUAAGGGUGUACAAGCCAAAUGGUGAUAUGGGGCAACCCUAGAAUAGUUACCGUGCUAUUCCACAUCAAAUAGAAAAAGAAAUAUAAGAAAUGCAUGACGCCCCAACUCAAAUUUAGUUGCUCUAACAUGGGAAGUUUCAAAUGUAGAACAGGAGCCUGAAUGUAAGGUACACUCGGUAGAUCUUGAAAUGUGGAUAUUUUAAGUAGGCACAUUAAGAGCAUGUGUAUAAAUAUGUGCAUAAUAAAAGGGGACCAUGCAUGUAGAUACAUAAGGGUGUACAAGCCAAAUGGUGAUAUGGGGCAACCCUAGAAUAGUUACCGUGCUAUUCC